GAUAAACGCUGGCGGCGUGCUUUAUGCAUGCAAGUCGAACGGUCCCGAUUUAUCGGGAUAGUGGCGGACGGGUGAGUAACGCGUAAGUAACCUGCCCCUAAGUAGGGGAUAACUCUGAGAAAUCGGAGCUAAUACCGUAUGUGGUGCUGGAGGUAAUGCUCCAUCACUAAAGCCUUCGGGCGCUUAGGGAGGGGCUUGCGUCCGAUUAGCUAGUUGGUAGAGUAAUGGUCUACCAAGGCAGUGAUCGGUAGCUGGUCUGAGAGGAUGGUCAGCCACACUGGGAUUGAGAUACGGCCCAGACUCCUACGGGAGGCAGCAGCAAGGAAUCUUGUGCAAUGGGCGAAAGCCUGACAUAGCGACGCCGCGUGGGGGAUGAAGGCUUUCGGGUUGUAAACCCCUUUUCUCAGGGAGGAAUAAUGACAGUACCUGAGGAAUAAGCCAUGGCUAACUACGUGCCAGCAGCCGCGGUAAUACGUAGGUGGCAAGCGUUAUCCGGAUUUAUUGGGUGUAAAGAGGGCGCAGGCGGCUUUUCAAGUCGGAUGUAAAAUCUCCCAGCUUAACUGGGAGGGAUCAUUCGAUACUGUUAAGCUAGAGGACAACAGGGGGAGGUAGAAUUCCCGGUGUAGUGGUGGAAUGCGUAGAUAUCGGGAGGAAUACCAGUGGCGAAGGCGGCCUCCUGGGUUGUUACUGACGCUUAUGCCCGAAGGCGUGGGGAGCAAACAGGAUUAGAUACCCUGGUAGUCCACGCUGUAAACUAUGGAUACUAGGUAUAGGGAGUAUCGACCCUCUCUGUGCCGAAGCUAACGCGUUAAGUAUCCCACCUGGGAACUACGGCCGCAAGGCUAAAACUCAAAGGAAUUGACGGGGGCCC
Molecule: ribosomal RNA, 871 nt
Filed under: uncultured bacterium
Lineage: Bacteria
Description: bacterial SSU rRNA
Rfam family: Bacterial small subunit ribosomal RNA
Source: RNAcentral